This 492-nucleotide ribosomal RNA is filed under the name uncultured bacterium. RNAcentral describes it as "partial 16S ribosomal RNA". It matches the Rfam family "Bacterial small subunit ribosomal RNA", at positions 29 to 507 of the family's 1533-position model. The record is from RNAcentral.
AGUGAACGCUGGCGGUAGGCCUAACACAUGCAAGUCGAACGGCAGCACAGUAAGAGCUUGCUCUUACGGGUGGCGAGUGGCGGACGGGUGAGGAAUACAUCGGAAUCUACUUUUUCGUGGGGGAUAACGUAGGGAAACUUACGCUAAUACCGCAUACGACCUACGGGUGAAAGCAGGGGAUCUUCGGACCUUGCGCGAUUGAAUGAGCCGAUGUCGGAUUAGCUAGUUGGCGGGGUAAAGGCCCACCAAGGCGACGAUCCGUAGCUGGUCUGAGACGAUGAUCAGCCACACUGGAACUGAGACACGGUCCAGACUCCUACGGGAGGCAGCAGUGGGGAAUAUUGGACAAUGGGCGCAAGCCUGAUCCAGCCAUACCGCGUGGGUGAAGAAGGCCUUCGGGUUGCAAAGCCCUUUUGUUGGGAAAGAAAAGCAGCAGGUUAAUACCCCGCUGUUCUGACGGUACCCAAAGAAUAAGCACCGGCUAACUUCGUG